UCAUAUAAGAAGUAGAAACAAAAGGAUCAGAAGAAGAACAAGAAAUGUACAACAGAAAAACCCUAACAGAGCUCCAAAUCCUACAAAAUAGAACAAAAUAAUUGAGCUCUUCUUCAAAUCCCGUAAACGAAGGAUGCAUUACUUCACGUCUCUUCAUCAUGCUCCUACAAUUCGAACUAUUUGUUUCAGUUUACAGAAGCUUGAAAUCACAAAAAAUUGUGACUUCCUUCUUCAGUUAAGAAGUUGGAAUCAUUUUGGAAUUUUCUCUCUGUGCUUCCAAAUCGGAGACAAGCCAGUGAGGAAGUCAUAAGUUUGCCAGGUGCAUCUCUGUUUAUGUAUCUUUUUAUUGUGUUUUACAUUUCCUUCAAGAUUUGGUGCAAGCAUCAUCUUCUUCUCAAGGUGACUCUUUUAGCUUCAGAAGUUGCUUUCUUGAACUUUUGCUUCAAUUUUGGUGACCAUUUUAGUUUUAGUCGUUGUUUCGUUGCAAUUGGUAAUAGUUUCAUAUCCAGCUUUAUGUAGUUACUGUCCUGUUAUAGCUUUUUUUUCGAAAUCCCUUCUGUUGUUUAGAGCUUAUCUUAUCUACAAAAAGUAUAUGGAUGCUUGUGAGUUGAUGAGUUUAAUGUGCCAUAAACUUUUUGGUGGAAAUAUGCUAAGGAAGGAAAAAAUUACAGAACUCGUCUUAUUUGAGUAUUUGUGACAGACACUUGGCUGAUGACUCGAAUGACUCUAGUGCCUCCGCAAGUGACAAUCUACGAUUCGUCCAAGCUGUUUCAGCCCACUGCUUCAUUUUUUCACCUUCUGCCUUUCUGUUUUGUUGCACGAUAAUUGUCUCUGCAUACCCACCUUCUACUUUCAAGGGUAGAUCUUUGAGCACUUCAAUUUCUCUUCUAUGGAGUCCCUCUUGAAUGAAAAACGAUUUUGUGUUGGACUUGGGUGACUAAAUAGUGUAAGUAUGUAUAAUGCACAUGAUUUUAUGUUAUUUCUUUGAUCCCUUAUUUGAAAUCACAUAAAUUUCAUAGACUUGACUAACUUGAAGGGAAAUUUAUGUUUGUAUUAUAAAAAUACAAUUUUUUCGCUUAGUUAAAUGAUGAUGUGGAACCCUUCUUAAAUUAGAUAUUUGUGGUGUGGUCAUUUCUGUUUAAAUUUGAAUUUUAUUUAAGUAAUUACUAACUAAUUAAUAAACUAUUAAGUACUAAGAGAAGUCUUUUAUCAUUGUUUGUUAGAUAGGAAGCAUGAGUUCCAUUAGAGUUGAUCGCAUGUGGAUAUAUAAGAGACUAGUGUCAAGUCGAACAACAGUCACUUCUAAUUUUAUAGAAGGUGUGCGUUGAUUUAUAGAGUUUACAUUAAUGCAACCUGAUUUUGUUAGAAUGGAAGUAUAAGGUGCCCUUGUUCAAAAUGUAAAAACAGUAGUCGGUUUCCUGAACCUCAUAAUAUUUGAUCUCAUUUAUACAAGCAUGAUUUCAUGACAAACUAUUAUCAAUGGGAAUCACAUGGGGAGCCUUUUCUUCCAAUUUCUAGGCCUCAACCUAGUACAUAUAUAGGUGAUGAAAUAGGUGCUAAUAGAACACCAAUAAAUCCAUAUCGUACUACGGUCUUGGAUGCAGCUGGUCCUAGUUUCAACUUAGACAGUGAUGCGUUUGAUAGGAAUGUUGAUGAAAAUAACCUCCUAAUCAAAAAAAAUGUUGAAAGCUGCUGAAGAGCCAUUGUUUGAUGGAUGUCGGACUCAUUCUCCCCUAUCAGUAGUGUGCAGGUUGUUGAACAUUAAGUCAGAGUCUAACAUGAGUGACAAUUUCUAUAAUCAAAUUUUGCUAUUUUUGAAUGAGCUCUUACCUGAAAAUGCAAAAUUACCUUUUGAUUACUAUAGGACUAAAAAAAUGGUUGCAAAACUUGGGCUAGAAUAUGAAAAGAUAGAUGUAUGUCAGACCAGUUGUAUCCUAUAUUACAAGGAUAAUAAAGACAAAAGAAAUUGUCCUAAGUGUGGUAAACCGCGCUACAAGCCUAAGAGAAGACGCAGUGGAAGGCAAAAAGAUGUUCUAUAUAAAGCAUUCUAUUACUUUUCUAUUACUCCGAGGUUGUAGAGAUUAUAUAUGUCAACAAAGACAGCUAAACAUAUGACAUGGCACUGGAAAUACCGUCGUGAACCUAGGGUAAUGAGUCCAAGUGAUGGAGAGGCAUAGAAGAAGUUUGAUAAGUGUCAUCCUAACUUUGCAAGCCAGCCUUGAAAUAUAAGACUUGGACUUGGAGCUGAUGGAUUUAGUCCUUGUGGGAAUAUGGGCCAUCCUUAUUCUUGUUGGCCAGUAAUCAUUACACCAUAUAAUCUUCCACCCGAAAUAUGCAUGACUAGCCCUUAUAUGUUCUUAAGUCUUCUCAUUCCCGGUUCAAAGAGUCAUGGAAAGAAUAUAGAUAUAUUCUUAGAAUCUCUUAUUGAUGAAUGCGUUGAUGGGGUUGAGAUUUAAGAUUCUCAUAAGAAACAAAAUUUUCAAAUGCGAGUUGCAGUUAUGUGGACUGUUAAUGAUUUCCCAACUUAUGGAAUGUUGUCUGGUUGGAUCACACAUGGUCUAUUAUCAUGCCCUUGUUGUAUGGGUAAAAGUAAGGCAUUUUACUUAAAACAUGGGAGAAAAGGUUCAUUCUUUGAUUGCCAUCGUAAAUUUUUGCAUAUGGGUCAUCCAUUUCGACGGGAUAGAAAGUCAUUUUAAAGAGGAAGGGUUGAGAACUCCACUCCUCCUCUUAGGUUGUAUGGUGAAGAAGUUUGGAACAAAGUGUGUACCUUACCAAAAGUGUGUGAUCAUGACACCUCUUGUAAGUUGCCAGGGUUUGGGGAUCAACAUAAUUGGAAAAAACAAAGCAUUUUUUGGGAAUUGCCAUAUUGGAAUACAAAUAUUAUUCGGCAUAAUCUUGAUGUGAUGCAUAUUAAGAAAAAUGUGUUUGAUAAUAUAUUCAACUCAAUAAUGGAUCUAAAGGAUAAAACAAAAGACAAUUUAAAUGCUAAAAGGGAUGUGCAAAAUUGUUGCAAUCGUCCAGAGCUUGAAUUGCUGGAGCAUGAAGGAAAAAUUAUGAAGCCAAAGGCAGCAUAUUUAUUGACAAAAGAACAAAGAAAGUUCAUAUGUGAAUGGUUGAAAAGCUUAAGGUUUCCAGAUGGUUAUGCUUCAAAUUUGUCUAGAUGUGUAGACAUGGAAGAUUGUAAAUUAUCAAGGAUGAAGAGUCAUGACUAUCAUGUAUUUCUAGAAAGGUUGCUACCAAUUGCAUUUCGAGAUCUUUUGCCAGAGCCAAUUUGGAAUGCUUUAACAAAGAUAAGUUUAUUUUUUUUAAGGAUUAUGCGCAAAUAUGUUAAACGUAGAAGAUCUCCAGAAGCUUGACGAAAGCAUAAAGGUUACAAUUUGCAAGAUAGAGAAAAUAUUUCCUCCUGGUUUCUUUGAUCCCAUGGAACAUUUGCCAAUUCAUUUACCAUAUGAAGCAAUAGCUCAAGGUCAUGUCCAUUUUCGAUGGAUGUACCCUUUUGAGCGGUAAAAAUCUAACAUAUAUCAUUGAUUAGAUAUUUAAUCUAAUUACCUAAUAUCGCACUAACUAUAUAUGUACCAAUGCAGAGAAAUACACACUUAAAAGAAGAUGGUGAAAAAUAGAUAUCACGUUGAGGGAUCAAUAUGUGAAGCUUAUAUCAUUAAAGAAAUUUCAACAUUCUUUUCUCAUUAUUUCAAGCCUAAUGUGCAAACUAGGUUCAACAAAGUUACUCGUAAUGAUGAUGGAGGUGAAGUUGAUGCACCCAAUGGUUGUCUAUCCAUCUUUUUGCAUCCCGGGCGUCCGAGUGGUGAGAUGAAUGGUCGUUAUUUGUCUGAUAAGGAGUGGGAUGCAACAAGAAUAUAUGUUUUGUUGAAUUAUGAGGAGAUUCAACAAUUUAUCCCUAUCUUUGAAGGUGAGUUGAAAAGAAAUUCAGAAAAUAUCAGUCUUGAGGAAAUUGAUAAAGAGACGAAUAGUAGAUUUGCCAACUGGUUCGAAGCUUAUGUGAGUAAAAUACUAUAGUAUGAAGAAGUUGUUGUUUUUAUUAAUCUACAUCAAGUAAUAAUCUAUACAUAACUAUAUAGAUCAUCGGCCUACUUUGUGUAUUUUUUAGGUUCUCAAUCCAGCUAACAACAUAAGUGAUGAGCAGUUAAGAGACUUGGCUUCUGGUCCUCAUAAGUGGGUGCAAACUUGGCCUCAAUAUUUUACAAAUGGCUAUAGGUUUCACACACUUAGACAUGGCUCUAACAGAUCAACUAUGAAUAGUGGUGUGUGCAUAAAAGGGACAACUUGGAAUGACUAAGAAACUGACUAUUAUGGAUUGCUUGGUGAGGUGAUACAACUUGAAUAUUCCAAUCCAACAAAGAAAAGAACCACUCUUGUCUUGUUCAAAUGUGAUUGGUUUGAUCCAGCAAUGGGUCGAGGGUGUAAGGUUCAUAAUCAGUAUGGGCUGAUUGAUAUCAAUCAUAAAAAAGGUUCUCGACCUAUGCUUUUGAACCUUUUGUAUUGGUUGAACAAUCGCAACAAGUCUAUUUUGCAGAAUAUCCCUGUAAAAAGAAAGAUAGUAUUGACUGGUGGGCAGUGUGUAAAAUAAAAUCUAGAAUUAAAAUUGAUUCUCCAAAUAUGCCAUACCAAGAAGAUGACAAUUUACCCCAAUAAUCCCAAAUAUCAGGGAUGAUCUUGAUAGCUAUCAAAAGUGAUGAAAUGACAGUGGAUUCUGAUUUUGAACUCUCUGAAGAAAAAACUUUGAAACCGAUGAUAGUGAAUGACAAUGACUUUUAACUAUAAUUUCUUUUUUGGAGUGUUUUCUUUUAUUACUAUUGCUACCUUUUGAUAUUGCUUGAUGUCAUUUCUUAAACCUAAAUAUUUCUUUUCGAAGUUGAUUCAUCAAGCUGUUAAAAUGGUUAUAAUAGUGAACAUUGAGUGCAUAUAAGCUUCAUUAUUUUCUCUACAUUAAUCAUUUUUAUAGCAUGAAAUGUUGAAAUUUUUUUAAGUGUCUUCUUUGAGUAUUAUUCUAUAGUUCUUGUUAGAUUUUUAUGGGGAAAUAUGAGAAUAGGAAGAGGCAUUAAACGUAGUUGGGGAGGCCGUGGAGGCAUAACUAACAAAGGAGGAGGAGGCAGCAAGCUACGAGCAGAGACUUCUCAAAAGGGUGUUAGUGAAUCAUCAAUUCCUACAUCUCAGCAAGUUGGUUUAAACCAGUGUAUUGUCUCAUCACAUGAAAGUAGUUCUCAACAGAUUGUACAUACAUCUCAAGAAGCCAAUGCUCAACAAAUGACUACUCCUGAAAAUCUUGCUGGUCAACAAGAGGCUCCUACUUCUCUAGAUGUUGGAUGACAAGAAACACCUUUGUCUCAGAAUGUUGGUGCUCAACAAGAAACUCCAACUCAAGAUUUCUCCUGAACGUACACUCACAUCUUUUGAAAGUAGUAAUCCACAGGGCAGACAAGAUACACUUGGUGGCAUAAAAUCCUUGAGAAUUAAUGGAGAUACAAGGAACUAACUUGUAAAGAGCUUCGGAACGAUGAAUUAUUUCUGAUGACUCACUAAAGGAAAAACGAAAAGAAGUGGAUCUGUGGAAUGUCAGAAAGGAUGUGGAUCUAGUUUACAAAUACAAUUAAGGAUAAUGUGGGUGAGACUUCAACAUUAAGGAAUGAAGAAGGUCUUGAAGUAGAUGAAGGAGACAUGGAGAGAAACACGGCCACAAAUGGAGAAGGCGAAGGAGAAAAACUAGUGAAGAUGAUGUGAAUUUAUUGAAAAUGGUAUCGGAGCAGUAAUUACUGAAAACAUGGAUAGAAACAGUUGGGGGAACUAAAAAAGGAAAAAUAUACGGUCUUGGUUCUAGAAAUUGUUUGCUGGCAGAUUCAAAGAAUUCUAAUUGUGCAUUCUCUACUGCUCAGAGUCCUUCAAAUAUUCUAACUCAACAAAUAUUUGAAACACCUUAAUUUCAGCAACUCUUAACCGCGUGUUGGAGCAACGGAUGACGAAUAUGCAAGAUCAUGUGCAAAUGGAUAUUCGGGAAAAUAUGAAAGCUCAAGUUACUAUUACAGUUUUGCUCGGGUGCUUGGUUUUACUCCUCAACUACCACCAGAUGGAUCUGGUUCUACCCCAAAUUCACCUUAAGAUAAUUUAUAUUAUUGUUUUUAUGUUUUAAGACAUUUGUGUUACUGUUUUUAUGUUUUAAGACAUGUUUUAGCUAGUAAACAUUUACUUCACUAUUUCAAGGAUUGAUGAUGAUUUAACUUUGUUUUU
RNA transcript from Solanum pennellii, 6243 nucleotides. RefSeq lists it as uncharacterized. The record is from RefSeq and is a predicted model, not a curated record. The transcript has 5 exons. NCBI's taxonomy places the organism in Eukaryota, Viridiplantae, Streptophyta, Magnoliopsida, Solanales, Solanaceae.